GGAUUAAAGUUUUUAUAACAUUUAAUUUGCACUUAAAAAAAACUAAAUUUGUUAAUCUG
This 59-nucleotide transfer RNA is filed under the name Diaphorina lycii. RNAcentral's name for it is "tRNA-Ala". Lineage: Eukaryota; Metazoa; Arthropoda; Insecta; Hemiptera; Psyllidae. The record is from RNAcentral.